Long non-coding RNA from Dromaius novaehollandiae (emu), 2165 nucleotides. RefSeq lists it as uncharacterized. Lineage: Eukaryota; Metazoa; Chordata; Aves; Casuariiformes; Dromaiidae. The record is from RefSeq and is a predicted model, not a curated record. The transcript is spliced from 3 exons.
UGAAUAACUUCUACUGACAAUGUUUCCUUUGUUUUUAUGUUAAAAAAAGAAGAAGAAGAAGAAGAAGAAGUUGAAAACCUGAAAAGCACUUGCUUUGGACAGUCAAAAAGGUGUUCCUCAGAGGAGCCCCUUUCCAGACCUGACAUCUGCUUCCCGGCAUCCAAACGAAGAGACCCUCCCUCUGUGACAGCCUCCAGCGCUUUCUAUCUAUGGAUAUGGAACGUUUGAGAAGACUGAGAGAAGACUCAGAAAUUUUAUCAUCCCUGAACUGAAAGGAGCUGAAAACAGCUACAACAUCCUUUUCUCCCAAAUGUGGAUUAGGGAGCACCUCUUCCCUACAUUUUUGGGGGGUCCUUGUCUGUCCAGUGCAAUUUGACCUCCAGUUUUCUAGGACUCCAAAUGCUGGAUUUCCUGAGCUGUUUCUGGGGAAGGAGAAAGGUCCAUGCAGGCACCAUGAAUUGUGCAAACCACACCUUGUGGGAGCUUUCACCACAGAGCAGUCCUUCAAGGGGAUACAGACACACCUUGACUGAUUGCUGUGCGGGCAGAAAGAGGACUCGAGGGUCUGUGGAGUCAGGACAAGCUGCCAGCAGAGCUGUUCCCUUUUUUCUACCUCACCGAUCUGUAGUGUCCAAAAGACGCUUUCUGAAUGCCCCAGAUUCCGCCUGCACGAGCUGAACUGGCCUCUUUGCGCGGUCUCAGUGCUGUGUUUUGUAAAGAUAUCUGUGACCAUGACCCUGCCUGCCCUUGGCUUGCCCCUUGGUGCAGUGUGGUCUGGCCCUACCAAAUUACUGGCUGGUAUGGACGUACGUACGUACGUAUGUAGGGCAAGCACUGAGAUAUGCCAUGCUGUAGCCUGUUCCCUGUCCUGUGUGGGGCCGUGGAGCCUCGCCUCACCCAAUGCCUCUGACCCAGCUAUGGUGCAACGGUUCCCCUUCAGCCAGCCAGUUUAUCAAGAGAGGACAGUGGCUUUCUUCUAAGAAAUUACUGCUGAAGCCCUUCGCCACCGUCCAACCGGCUCAACAGAUAAUAUCUGACUCGUAACUUACCCAGCCCAUUAAUUUUGCUUUUAAGUGGCGUGACCAGCUCCAAAAGCAUUAUAACUAAUCUGUCUCACAGUUCAAUGGUAAGACAAAUUAUUAGGGAUGUAUUUUCAACAUAUCGCUUUUGUAUUUUAUUAAAAACAAAGUCUCCUAGCAGUUCAAAUUUCUUGUCUUUCAAUCUUGUGACUAGUUCUCUUGUUCUUCUGUCAUGAGCGAUCAAACACAAGCACUGGUUUUUGUUUCUUUGUACCACUUGUUUUUUUAUAUACCUUUAGGAGUUCCCUUUUUCAACUUAAAAGAGGUAAUCUUUUCAUUAUCCCUUUUCACAUGGAAGGUUAAACCAGGUCUGAGAACAUUUCAGAGUGUUCAGGGGUUGCCCACAUAAAGAAAUUCUCUGGAAGAGAUAUGGCAGAACACACACUGACAAUACAGUAGAAAAUCUUUGAAAGAACAUGAAAAAAAAAAAAUCUCAUUUCAUAACUGUGUGUCACAGGUCAGAUAUCCCAAAAAUCUGUUGCACUUUAACAUCCUAUUUUAUUCUGGAAUAACAUUCCCAUUCAGUCAACUCCUAUUUCUCAUUUACAUCUUCAUAGUUUUUAAGUAUACAGAAUGACAUGAAGUAUUCCCUUGUUGGCAUGCUGCUUACCUAUGGCAUUAUGGUUCUGACAGUGUGCCUUUUGUGAAACAUUUUUAACCCUUAGACAGCAGGCAAUAUUUAAAUCAUACACUGUACUCUUCUUAAACCUUCCUACUUUGGUACAUGAAUAGACCUAUGAGAAUUAAUAGAGAAUUGAAGUCUGUGAGUCUGACUUUUUACAACCACGUUUGAAACAACAUUAGUUCUAUUAACUUCUGUACAAAUUUCUGCAUGUUUCUCUGCGUAACUGAAAUUCCGAUUGAAAGAGCCAAACCUUUAAUAUGUGCAUUCACUAACACUCAUUAGUAGCCAAGGUCAUUAUUUUAGGUACUUUUUUAUGAUAUAGCUCAGGGAAUGAUGAAGAAUUACACACAAAAGAACAUGAUGUUGUUUGAGUUUUCUUAAUUCCAAAGUUUUACUGAGGUUCCUGGUUCUGUAUGUUACUAAAUGUACAAUAAUGAUAACAAUAAAAUCUUUGAAAACUC